This 363-nucleotide unclassified non-coding RNA is filed under the name uncultured fungus. RNAcentral describes it as "partial contains 5.8S ribosomal RNA and internal transcribed spacer 2". The stretch from base 1 to 133 matches the Rfam family "5.8S ribosomal RNA", at positions 22 to 154 of the family's 154-position model. The record is from RNAcentral. Lineage: Eukaryota; Fungi.
UGGCUCUCGCAUCGAUGAAGAACGCAGUGAAAUGCGAUAAGUAAUGUGAAUUGCAGAAUUCAGUGAAUCAUCGAAUCUUUGAACGCACCUUGCGCUCCUUGGUAUUCCGAGGAGCAUGCCUGUUUGAGUGUCGUGAAAUCAUCAACUCCCAAUCGCUUUUGUGAAAGGGAAGUUGGACUUGGAGACUGCUGGCCCGUUAGGGUACUGGCUUCUCUUGAAUGCAUUAGCUGAUAAAAGAUUUGCAGCAUAUAUGCGGUGUGAUAAUGUCUUCACUGUGUAGCUCAAGUCGCGAUUGGCUUCUAAUCGUCUUUUGAAGACAACUUUUGAUCAUUAGACCUCAAAUCAGGUAGGACUACCCGCUGA